This 468-nucleotide ribosomal RNA is filed under the name uncultured bacterium. Its description in RNAcentral is "partial 16S ribosomal RNA". It matches the Rfam family "Bacterial small subunit ribosomal RNA", at positions 28 to 507 of the family's 1533-position model. The record is from RNAcentral.
GACGAACGCUGGCGGCGUGCUUAACACAUGCAAGUCGAACGGAAAGGCCCUGCUUUUGUGGGGUGCUCGAGUGGCGAACGGGUGAGUAACACGUGAGUAACCUGCCCUUGACUUUGGGAUAACUUCAGGAAACUGGGGCUAAUACCGGAUAGGAGCUCCUGCUGCAUGGUGGGGGUUGGAAAGUUUCGGCGGUUGGGGAUGGACUCGCGGCUUAUCAGCUUGUUGGUGGGGUAGUGGCUUACCAAGGCUUUGACGGGUAGCCGGCCUGAGAGGGUGACCGGCCACAUUGGGACUGAGAUACGGCCCAGACUCGUACGGGAGGGAGCAGUGGGGAAUAUUGCACAAUGGGCGGAAGCCUGAUGCAGCAACGCCGCGUGCGGGAUGACGGCCUUCGGGUUGUAAACCGCUUUCGCCUGUGACGAAGCGUGAGUGACGGUAAUGGGUAAAGAAGCACCGGCUAACUACGUG